CUCGCCAACAGGAGAAUCAUUUCUAUAGUAUUCGACCUCCUCUAGGUUCCCUAAAGGAGCCAUAGAUCCCACCCUGGUUGAUGAUUUAUAUCCUCGACACCCUAGAGUGAAGUACUCUGGUUACUCUCGAUCUCUCCGCAAGGAGGGCGGUCCGCUGUUGCAGUUGACUGUAUAGAGAGUGGUGAUGAUCUCGUCCCCGUCUGCGGUCUUGCCCUAGGGCGCGUGGGCGGGGUGGGUGUCGAUGGACGUCUGACAGGC
This 258-nucleotide small nucleolar RNA is filed under the name Colletotrichum orbiculare MAFF 240422. RNAcentral describes it as "fungal small nucleolar RNA U3". It matches the Rfam family "Fungal small nucleolar RNA U3". From Rfam's summary of the family: Small nucleolar RNAs (snoRNAs) are involved in the processing and modification of rRNA in the nucleolus. There are two main classes of snoRNAs: the box C/D class, and the box H/ACA class. U3 snoRNA is a member of the box C/D class. Lineage: Eukaryota; Fungi; Ascomycota; Sordariomycetes; Glomerellales; Glomerellaceae. The record is from Rfam by way of RNAcentral.